UCGAGCGGAUGACGGGAGCUUGCUCCUUGAUUCAGCGGCGGACGGGUGAGUAAUGCCUAGGAAUCUGCCUGGUAGUGGGGGACAACGUUUCGAAAGGAACGCUAAUACCGCAUACGUCCUACGGGAGAAAGCAGGGGACCUUCGGGCCUUGCGCUAUCAGAUGAGCCUAGGUCGGAUUAGCUAGUUGGUGGGGUAAUGGCUCACCAAGGCGACGAUCCGUAACUGGUCUGAGAGGAUGAUCAGUCACACUGGAACUGAGACACGGUCCAGACUCCUACGGGAGGCAGCAGUGGGGAAUAUUGGACAAUGGGCGAAAGCCUGAUCCAGCCAUGCCGCGUGUGUGAAGAAGGUCUUCGGAUUGUAAAGCACUUUAAGUUGGGAGGAAGGGCAGUAAGUUAAUACCUUGCUGUUUUGACGUUACCGACAGAAUAAGCACCGGCUACCUCUGUG
Molecule: ribosomal RNA, 450 nt
Filed under: uncultured bacterium
Lineage: Bacteria
Description: bacterial SSU rRNA
Rfam family: Bacterial small subunit ribosomal RNA
Source: RNAcentral